RNAcentral lists this non-coding RNA (162 nucleotides) under Candidatus Endolissoclinum sp. TMED26. RNAcentral's name for it is "6S RNA". It matches the Rfam family "6S / SsrS RNA". From Rfam's summary of the family: E. coli 6S RNA was the first non coding RNA to be sequenced, but its function was unknown until recently. It consists of 184 nucleotides that fold into an extended hairpin structure with a large single-stranded internal bulge. The 6S RNA specifically associates with RNA polymerase holoenzyme containing the sigma70 specificity factor. Lineage: Bacteria; Pseudomonadati; Pseudomonadota; Alphaproteobacteria; Rhodospirillales; Rhodospirillaceae. The record is from RNAcentral. RNAcentral also lists the same sequence under 1 other name.
CGGUCGCUGCCUGGUUUGUUAGGACGCGCAUAUCUCUGGGGCUAUACUCCAUUAUCCUUGGGAGCUACCUCUGCCGAGAUCGUGGUCUUGGUACGCGGCGCCCACCUGCACGAGCAGGCACCAGAGGAUGGCAUGGGAGCCGACGGCUAAGGUGGCACCGUU